UGUACGUCGAACGGCAGCACGGGUGCUUGCACCUGGUGGCGAGUGGCGAACGGGUGAGUAAUACAUCGGAACAUGUCCUGUAGUGGGGGAUAGCCCGGCGAAAGCCGGAUUAAUACCGCAUACGAUCUACGGAUGAAAGCGGGGGACCUUCGGGCCUCGCGCUAUAGGGUUGGCCGAUGGCUGAUUACCUAGUUGGUGGGGUAAAGGCCUACCAAGGCGACGAUCAGUAGCUGGUCUGAGAGGACGACCAGCCACACUGGGACUGAGACACGGCCCAGACUCCUACGGGAGGCAGCAGUGGGGAAUUUUGGACAAUGGGCGAAAGCCUGAUCCAGCAAUGCCGCGUGUGUGAAGAAGGCCUUCGGGUUGUAAAGCACUUUUGUCCGGAAAGAAAUCCUUGGCUCUAAUACAGUCGGGGGAUGACGGUACCGGAAGAAUAAGCGCCGGCUAACUACGUGCCAGCAGCCGCGGUAAUACGUAGGGUGCGAGCGUUAAUCGGAAUUACUGGGCGUAAAGCGUGCGCAGGCGGUUUGCUAAGACCGAUGUGAAAUCCCCGGGCUCAACCUGGGAACUGCAUUGGUGACUGGCAGGCUAGAGUAUGGCAGAGGGGGGUAGAAUUCCACGUGUAGCAGUGAAAUGCGUAGAGAUGUGGAGGAAUACCGAUGGCGAAGGCAGCCCCCUGGGCCAAUACUGACGCUCAUGCACGAAAGCGUGGGGAGCAAACAGGAUUAGAUACCCUG
This 740-nucleotide ribosomal RNA is filed under the name Burkholderia cenocepacia. RNAcentral describes it as "bacterial SSU rRNA". It matches the Rfam family "Bacterial small subunit ribosomal RNA", at positions 56 to 789 of the family's 1533-position model. Lineage: Bacteria; Pseudomonadati; Pseudomonadota; Betaproteobacteria; Burkholderiales; Burkholderiaceae. The record is from RNAcentral.